Non-coding RNA from Podarcis muralis (Common wall lizard), 4821 nucleotides. The record is from RefSeq and is a predicted model, not a curated record. NCBI's taxonomy places the organism in Eukaryota, Metazoa, Chordata, Lepidosauria, Squamata, Lacertidae.
AGUCUUUUAUACUGCACCUUUUAUAUUCAAUUAUACCCCAACUGCAUUCUGCUCCAGUUAAUGUAACUUUGAUAUAGUUACAGAUCAUGUGUGUGUGUGUGUGUGUGUGUGUGUGUUUGUAUUAAACACACAUAAAAAGGCUUGCACAUAGAUCUAAACUGUCUUGUAUAGUUUGGUCCCUAAAAUAUAAUUAGCAUUACAUUGAAAUUUACACAAAUUUUAAAUUUAAUAUUCCACUCUGUUGGGUCUCUCUCAAAACCGCUAAAACACAAAAAGUAAUGAGACAUUUUUAUUUUGUUGUACUUUUUACGUUAAGGAUGGUGUUUUCAAGUUUCCCAGCCUUCUAUGAGCUGGUAGCUUGCCUCUCAUUGAGUACACCUUGAAAUUAUAUACUGUUGGUAAGUCUGCUCUCUAGUUUUGGUAAAACUCUUGAAACAGCUGCUUCUUUUAUGUCACUUUUCUCAAGUUAAAGAGGGUUUUAUACUACCCAAAUUCUGUCCUCCAAUCUAAGUAAUUAAAGGUUUGGAGUGAAGCUUCUCCCUUACUCAAAUAGUUUGGAUCUUAACGGUGGUGGAUUUUCUUCUUCAUGUUUCUUUUCGCUGACAAAUAGGAACUUUUUGAACAGACGUCUGUACCUCUUGCCAUUUAAUUAGUGGUUACCCUCCACCACUCAUACUACUAUUUCAUUCUGCAUCUUUAGUUUUGGUAUAGUUUUGUGCGUUAAUAGCAAAUGUGAAUCUCCAUCUGAAUGUACGCCUGUGUCCAUUACUGAUGGUACCAUAUCUGGUUAAACACUGUGGCCUUUUAAUUAGCAGACUUACAGAUUACAGACACAGGUGGCUACAGAUGAGCAAGUGUCUCAUGAUGGCUGCUUAAUUGGAAAUGCUGACUUCACAGGGUGAGCUGUUAGUCUGGUGGAAUUUGCAACAUAGUAAAGUCUAGUGUAACCACAUCACUGAUCACCCACCUUCAAUGUGCUAAGGCAUGCUUUGGCGAUAGCAGAUGACAUGAACAGCUCGUUCUGGCAGAUGAUAAUGAACAGCUCAUUAUGUGACAGAAGACAUCCCAUGGAAUUUUUUUAAAUUCCCAUCACAGGGCUGUUACUCAUCUUUAUCCAUAAUAAAUAAAUAAGCCAGCUUUUCUUCAAGGAGCCUUUUCCUUUAUGGUACAGUGUUCAAUAAGAAAAGUGAUUUCUUUAUAUGCCUUGCCUUAAAUGGGUUCUAGUCAUUGUACCAAAUGUCAAAUGCGAACAUGGUUGUUUUCACAACAUGUUCAUACAGCAGCAGAAUUUUUUAAGUCUACAAAUCAAGUAUGUAGAAUUUGUACAUGCAGGUCCCGCUUUAUGAACACUCACUAUGCAGAAAUUCACUUAUCAGAACACAAGGAAUUGGUACCCAAACCUCACUAUAUGCAAUGCACAUUCAGAUAUCCAAAUAGAAAGCAUUUUUCUACUUCCUUGUUUGCCUUUUGCUGGUUAUCCGAGGGAGGGAGGGGGAGGAAUCGAACAGCAUUUUUUCAGGGGUUUCUGGGUUUUUUGUGUGUUUUGGGGUCAAAGUUCCAUGAUCAGAAACACAUUAGAACUUUUACCAUAGGAAUUAAUGGGAAUCAUUGACUCAUAAUGUGAAUGCUCACCCAUUGAAUGAUUUCCAGGGAACACAUGGUGCUUGUAAAGCGGGGUCUGCAUGUACAUUUGACUUAACAUGGUUUUAUUUUGCUGAUGGGAUUACCUGACAAAUUUGCAGAAGUUUCAAACUGAUAGGAAAAUAUAAAAUAUAUAAUUAAUUUAAAAUUUUGCUUUGCUCCAAAGAGAUGUUUGCUUUCACCAGAGUUAGAUUGUGGCUUGAUUCAGGUUUAAUGCCAAACCACGACUUGUUAUUACAAGAAUGAGCCUUAUCCUCUUACGUUGCCCCUCACCUCACAUGCUUCACUUUACAUCAACCUUGGAGAAACCAUAGUUUGUCAUUGCAUCCAAACUAGCAAACAAUGGUUUGUGCGAGUCCUGCGAACCAAGUUGGAAAACCAAAUUGUAGUUCGCUAGUUCAGAGGUUAGUUGGAUACUGGCAAGUUAAUAAGAAAGUUAGUAACCUAGCAGGUGCAUUUUAUGCUAGAAAGUUUUGGUUUGUCAUUGCUUCUGAACAAGCCCUUGGUCUUUUUAAAUCUCUGAGAUCAUGUUUUACAUUUGUUAGCAAGAUAACUGGCAGAUGAUUUUUGGUUGAAUCAUCCUUUGCCUCCCCCAUUUUUUUCUUUCGAAUAGAGAAAUCUAAGUGGCCUUUGGAAUUAGAAAAGAUAUUCAGAACACAGCUAAGCAUUGAACUAACUUUUUGGUAGUUAGUCUUUUCUGGAAUAAGUGACCAAACAGUGACUUUUCAUGACUGAAAGUGAUGGUUAGUAUCUCAGUAUCUGGGGACACACACACCUACAUACAUAUAUAUCCAUUGGAUGGUGAAGUAUGCUCUGAUACAGAAAGCUUAUGCUGUAAUACAUUUGUUGGUAGUUUCAGGUAUCAUGGGUUGUUGUCACUGUUAGAUACAGAGCUGGAUGCUAGGUGUAGAGCUGCUUAAGAAAACCUAACAUUGUAAGUAGCUUGAACCACCCAAGACAACACAUUUAACUCAGUUUUAAACUGUGCCCUGGCUUAUAUCCAGUGACUCUAGCUGUUGUUGGUUUGGAUAGCUUCCGAAGCUACCUAUGACUCCUUAACUCACUCACCCUUUGCCUUGUCGUAUUCCUAGAAGUAGAAGAAGUGAUUCUUCUAUUUAGAUCUCCUCUGUGAACAGUUUAUGGCACCAGGACCUCCUGAUGGCAAGAGAAAGAAAACGUUUUAACCUGUUUUUCACAUAAUAUCACCUUUCACUAUUUCCAACAUAGAAAUAGCUUACAGCUGUUCAAAUAUGAGCAGUGGGUGGUAAUCGGUAAAGUUUUACUUAACAUAGACCCAUUGAAAUAAAUGGACUAGACUUAUUAAUGGCCAUUAAUUUCAGUGGGUCUGCUCUGAACAAAACUUAGUUGACUACCACACAGUAUAUUUUGGUGUUUUUACAGAUCGGAGGUAUUAGAAUUUUUCAUUUUCUUCUGAUCAUGCGUGUCGCACAACCCCAGCUUCUCUGGGCCCUGUUCUGUGGUGCAGGCGAGAGAGUUCCUAGCCAAGGUUGAGUGUAUUCCUCUGCUCACCCACUGCUCCCUUUAGACCAAGGUGUCCCAACUUUUCAUACCAAGUGGGCAAGGUCAACAUUUGAUGCCUUCUCAUGCCUCCAGGACCCUGUCAGAGCCCUCCUGCCUCCUUCCCAAAGCCCAUUGCCUCACUUACCCAGCUUUGGGAAGGCAACACAAGGGCUGGGGCGGGGGAGUGUCAAAUGUUGUUGAAGGCCACCCAAAAAGACCUUGAGGGCUACAUGCGGACUGUGUAUUGGACUGCCCCGCUUUAGACUUUUGCACUGCCACCAGGUAAAAAAGUUAUUUUAUUUUACAGCACCGUCUGUUACCAGCCAGCCUAAAAUCUCCUUUGUUUCUCCUCAAAAGCUACUCAAGGUUUGGGGUGUCAAUUAAUGAAGCAGAGUUAAAAGUUUGCUGAAAAGAUAAAAAAUAGUACCUUGUAGGGAAAACUUAUGCCAACUUAUGGACCAACCCAGCUCUGUAAGUGUGAUGUUUGUAUGACACUUCUUGAUGUUCUUCUCCAUGCAGUGUGUCUCCUUUUUCUGAGAAGAUGGCACCUUGAGCAGAAAGCCAAAAGCAAGUCCACAUAGCCUGGGGCUAUGUCAAGUGCGAUCAACAAAUUCAGGGAAGUUAAGGGGGAUUAAACCCUAUAUACCAGGCAUGUCCAACUUUAACCUGAACCCCAAAAAAGGGGGUAGAUCACUGCCAGUUUAUAACUCUGUGAGUAGAUUGCAGUGUCUUGGGAGUUGGCCACCCCUCCUAUAUACAGGUAGAGCCUACUUUCAGACCAUCUGGUCUUCAGUGAAUUAACCACCAUCCAAUCCGAGUCCUCGACACAUCCAGUUUAACAAGUUAAUCCCGCCUGACUUUACUCCAGAAGUAUCCAAAGCAGUUUACAAACAGAAGAUAAAAAUUCCUUAUAAAACAAAAACAACAUUAAAAAAAUAGAUAACGGAUGAUAAUAAUAUAGUGCUGUGAUACGGAUUUCCGCAAAAUAAUAUGUGUAAAGCACCCAGGGAGGUAUUCUCCUUCAAAGGCUGUAUUAAGUGGCAUGAUUUUUAAGCCUGUCUGGUUAAAGCAUAAUUUAUGUUAUUGUUUGCUUUUGUUGGUUUUCUUCAGCAAUUUGUUUUUUAUUUUUGUAAACUGAGGCUGUUUUAAAUUUUAGAUGCGUAUACUUUGGAGUUCAGGAGGGGUAAACUAGAAGCCAGCAUAGGCUUUGUCAGGAACUUGACUGUACUAUACUACCCUAAUUUUCUUUGUUGACAAGGUCUUAUAUCAAUUGACAUCACUGAGGCUACAUUCCUAUACCCACUUACCUUGGGAAUAAGCCCCACUGAAAACGGCAUGAACUUCUGUGCGGCUGUGUAUAUGAUUGUGCUACAAGCUGGUCCAACGUGAUGUUUUCUUUUAAAAGCCCAGAGCAAUACCAUAAAGAAAAAAUGCUAUUUGUACAAAUCUUUCCGACCGUGUUUAUAUGUAACAUUUUUUGCUUUGAAACAGCAGUGUCCUUUCUCCCCAGCUGCGUAUAUCCAUUAUUUCCAUUUUCUUUGGACUUGUCUGCUGGCAGUAAUUCAUUGAAACAUCUGUGGAAAAUAACCUCUGCAGACUUGACAAGCAAGCAUUUGAACAUACAUUGUUCAAGAGCCAGAGGACCGUAAACCGAAGAAG